GGGCGCGUAACUCAGCUGGUCAGAGUGCUAUCUUGACAUGGUAGAAGUCGGCGGUUCGAGUCCGUCCGCGCCCA
RNAcentral lists this transfer RNA (74 nucleotides) under Candidatus Aminicenantota bacterium. Its description in RNAcentral is "Candidatus Aminicenantes bacterium tRNA-Val". It matches the Rfam family "tRNA". Rfam says of the family: Transfer RNA (tRNA) molecules are approximately 80 nucleotides in length. Their secondary structure includes four short double-helical elements and three loops (D, anti-codon, and T loops). RNAcentral also lists the same sequence under 1 other name. The record is from RNAcentral. Lineage: Bacteria; Candidatus Aminicenantota.